AAGAAUGUGGUCAUUUUAGGCAGGAAGAGCAAAGUAUACACUGUACACUCUUAUCGACUUGUGCAAAUGCAACAAAUCUUAGAUUUUUCUCCUAGCUUUCGAACUGUAAGGAAAAGGUGGCUCAUUUAUUGUAACACAAACCAAAAAACCAACCUCACAAAGAACACAAAUUGUCAAGCAGCAAAUGAGCCUGGCCUGUUCAGAUCCCAUUAAUGCAAGCUAUUUCAAGACCUCCAAGCUACAGAGACCUUCCCAGGCACCACUACAGUCUACACCUCCUAUAUAAACAACAUUUAUAACAGCUUUAUUGUUGAUUUCUGUUUACACAUAUGCAAAGCUGAGUAUGUGGCACAUAUUCAAAGAAACAGGUGUGCUAAGCAUAACAUUGAUCUAAACUCCGUUUUCCCACAAAUAAGCACUCAACACAGCAACUACAGCAUCCUUCCCCACUUCUUCUUCCUUUGUUUACAUAGCUAAAGAUGAAGUGAUAUGGCACCAUCAAUCUAUUUCCAACUGGCCUCCUACCAAUCAUUGAUAUGACUACAUCAUUGAUGUGACUACAUCCAACGCAGACCCCCUUGGAGGUAAAUUUCAUUUAAAAGUAAAUCAGACUGUUAAGAUGAAGAAUACUGGAUG
This is a long non-coding RNA of Sceloporus undulatus (fence lizard), 636 nucleotides long. RefSeq lists it as uncharacterized. The transcript is spliced from 2 exons. NCBI's taxonomy places the organism in Eukaryota, Metazoa, Chordata, Lepidosauria, Squamata, Phrynosomatidae. The record is from RefSeq and is a predicted model, not a curated record.